Molecule: transfer RNA, 85 nt
Filed under: Felis catus (domestic cat)
Lineage: Eukaryota; Metazoa; Chordata; Mammalia; Carnivora; Felidae
Rfam family: tRNA
About the family: Transfer RNA (tRNA) molecules are approximately 80 nucleotides in length. Their secondary structure includes four short double-helical elements and three loops (D, anti-codon, and T loops).
Source: Rfam by way of RNAcentral
ACCUGCAUGGCUCAAUCAGUUAAGCAUCUGACUUCAGCUCAGGUCAUGAUCUCACAGUUCGUGGGUUCAAGCCCUGCUUCAGGCU